CAGUCGCCACGGGAAUACGGAGGGUGCAAGCGUUAAUCGGAAUUACUGGGCGUAAAGCGCACGCAGGCGGUCUGACAAGUCAGAUGUGAAAUCCCCGGGCUUAACCUGGGAACUGCAUUUGAAACUGUCAGGCUGGAGUCUUGUAGAGGGGGGUGGAAUUCCAGGUGUAGCGGUGAAAUGCGUAGAGAUCUGGAGGAAUACCGGUGGCGAAGGCGGCCCCCUGGACAAAGACUGACGCUCAGGUGCGAAAGCGUGGGGAGCAAACAGGAUUAAAUACCCCAGUAGUCCCUGUCUCUUAUAC
This 301-nucleotide ribosomal RNA is filed under the name uncultured bacterium. Its description in RNAcentral is "partial 16S ribosomal RNA". It matches the Rfam family "Bacterial small subunit ribosomal RNA", at positions 509 to 807 of the family's 1533-position model. The record is from RNAcentral.